UUGGUGACCAGCGGAGGGAUCAUUACCGAGUUUACAACUCCCAAACCCAAUGUGAACCAUACCAAACUGUUGCCUCGGCGGGGUCACGCCCCGGGUGCGUCGCAGCCCCGGAACCAGGCGCCCGCCGGAGGGACCAACCAAACUCUUUACUGUAGUCCCCUCGCGGACGUUAUUUCUUACAGCUCUGAGCAAAAAAUUCAAAAUGAAUCAAAACUUUCAACAACGGAUCUCUUGGUUCUGGCAUCGAUGAAGAACGCAGCGAAAUGCGAUAAGUAAUGUGAAUUGCAGAAUUCAGUGAAUCAUCGAAUCUUUGAACGCACAUUGCGCCCGCCAGUAUUCUGGCGGGCAUGCCUGUCCGAGCGUCAUUUCAACCCUCGAACCCCUCCGGGGGGUCGGCGUUGGGGAUCGGGAACCCCUCAGACGGGAUCCCGGCCCCGAAAUACAGUGGCGGUCUCGCCGCAGCCUCUCCUGCGCAGUAGUUUGCACAACUCGCACCGGGAGCGCGGCGCGUCCACGUCCGUAAAACACCCAACUUUCUGAAAUGUUGACCUCGGAUCAGGUAGGAAUACCCGCUGAACUUAAGCAUAUCAAUA
Molecule: ribosomal RNA, 593 nt
Filed under: Trichoderma erinaceum
Lineage: Eukaryota; Fungi; Ascomycota; Sordariomycetes; Hypocreales; Hypocreaceae
Description: eukaryotic LSU rRNA
Rfam family: 5.8S ribosomal RNA (bases 212-365)
Source: RNAcentral